GAGGUUGUAUUAUAAUUUAGUAUUUUUCUUUUUCGAAGGAGAGGUUUUUGGAUCUUA
RNAcentral lists this transfer RNA (57 nucleotides) under Gnathostoma sp. MMS-2017. RNAcentral's name for it is "tRNA-Glu". Lineage: Eukaryota; Metazoa; Nematoda; Chromadorea; Rhabditida; Gnathostomatidae. The record is from RNAcentral.